This 253-nucleotide ribosomal RNA is filed under the name uncultured bacterium. RNAcentral describes it as "partial 16S ribosomal RNA". It matches the Rfam family "Bacterial small subunit ribosomal RNA", at positions 524 to 776 of the family's 1533-position model. The record is from RNAcentral.
GACGAACCGAGCGAACGUUGUUCGGAAUCACUGGGCGUAAAGGGCGCGUAGGCGGCCUUGUAAGUCCUGUGUGAAAUCCCCCGGCUCAACUGGGGAACUGCACAGGAGACUGCUUGGCUUGAGUUCGGGAGAGGGAAGCGGAAUUCCGGGUGUAGCGGUGAAAUGCGUAGAUAUCCGGAGGAACACCGGUGGCGAAGGCGGCUUCCUGGACCGACACUGACGCUGAGGCGCGAAAGCCAGGGGAGCAAACGGG